Long non-coding RNA from Cyprinus carpio (common carp), 1777 nucleotides. RefSeq lists it as uncharacterized. The transcript has 4 exons. The record is from RefSeq and is a predicted model, not a curated record. NCBI's taxonomy places the organism in Eukaryota, Metazoa, Chordata, Actinopteri, Cypriniformes, Cyprinidae.
AAAUCUGCAGUGAGACACAAAAAUUAAAUAGUGAAUAUAUCAGUUGUUCAAUUAAAUCAAUUAUUAUGUCUUAUGAGUUUUAUGUCUUUUUUGUUUUCUUUGUUGAACAAUAGCUCGGAUCUAAAACCAAGUGUGCUGCCUACCUAGACAGCAUUUUAAGGCAUCAUAGGUGCACUUCCAAUGCACUAUACAUGCUUGAGUCAAAUAGGCUACUUUAUGCUAGGACGUCAAUGAAGUCAUGAAUGUUGUUGUUAUUGGGGCAGUAACACUGCAAGACUCCAGAGGGCGAUACAGGUGACUUAAAAUGUCUGUGCUGAGUAUGACAUCCACCUUAUUUUGGAACGCAGAGGUAAACCAGUUUGCAAUAUCAAGAAGCACAACGGACUGCUUGAUGUGUAUAAAUGACUCGCAUGUAAAUUUCUUUAUCCACAAAUGUAAAGAGGCAUUGAAUAAGACUUGGCUCAUUUUAAGACAGAAAUAGGUCACUACCUUCAUACAAUAACAGCAACGAGAAAUAAAAAAGCACAAAAAAUAGUGAAUUGUAAACUACUAAACUUUACUGUAAAGCCUUGAAUGUAGGAUACUUUGGUUGAUUUAUAAUGCACCGAAUGUAUGUUAAUUGCUUAUGAAUAUGCUGAUUUACCCUUUAUUAUUAUUGUUUGUCUUAGAAUUUAAUUUGAUACCACUGAUAUGCUAUAAUUGCCUUGAAUGUACAAUUAAUGUACAUUCAUUGUUCAGGAGACUGCAAUAUAAAAAUGUGAAAAAUCAAAUAAAGUUAUAAGUAUGAUUAGUUUCCAUAGUAUCAUUUAAGACAGCAGAUGAAGUAAUCAGAGACUGGGUAAGAGACAGACAACUGUAAGAAUAGAAAUUUGAAAUAUGUUGUCUUUAUAAACUUAAAGUAAGGCCUAUGUAAAGCUUUUAAUCGGUGAUUAUGUGAUACCUGUUACAGUGUUUUUGUAGAGUCCUGGUCGCUAGGAGCUUGGCAUAGGGGUUUUGCUGCCAUCAUCUGAUCCUGAAGAAAGGGAGAAACAGAUAUUAGCAUGUGUAAAGUUCUCCUUUGAACUCCCAUUCCCUGAAAAGAAUUUUGGGAGAAAAAUCUGAGACAACUAUGAUGUGAGGAGGCAAAUGAGUGAGUGACUUACCUAUGCCAUCUCCAACCCUGACUUCAUCAUCAUGGGCGUCAGUGUCGUCAUCAUCUAAACAGAAAGAAGCAUGGGAAAGAAUUGAGGCAGCUUUCAAUUCACAAUUUCCUAGAAUUCUUUGAGAAUUCAGCCCAAUCAGAGAGUAACAGUUCAUGUCUCAGGGACGGAGGUUUCUUGAUCUCUUUUUUGAGGCAGUGAUGGGCUUGCUCCGCUUGCGUGCUGAUGCAUUGUGGGAUUUGGUUGCACGCUGGACUGGGACCGGGGCGGGUUUCACAGCCGCUGCCGCCUCCUCUGAGUCUGGAGCUUCAUCUUCUGAACAGAGAGAAACAGGAAUCUCAGCCGGUCUGAUGCACAAAUCAAAUCCUUCCAUGUGCAAAGUUCAUAAGAAACCAUCUUUCAUCAGCUCCUCUCCUACUGUGUGAAGCAGUGAUCACUCACCGUUGGGCAGGUCAGGUGAGACCAGGUUCAUGCUUUCUGUCAAUGAAAACACAAAACACUGCAGUGAGAGUCCGUCCGGCUGACAUACUACAGACUGUGUCUCCACAACAGAGAAAGAGUGUGAAACUCACCAGUUGGAGCUUCAUCUGAGGUUGAAUCCGGAUCUGUGGAUUAUUGGAAGGAUUCUUAGUUGAAGG